CUCUACAGACAUAUCACCCUGAAUGUGCCUGAUCUCAUCUAAUCUUAGAAGCUAAACAGGAUCAGGCUUGGUUAACACUUGUAUGAGA
Molecule: ribosomal RNA, 88 nt
Filed under: Saimiri boliviensis boliviensis (Bolivian squirrel monkey)
Lineage: Eukaryota; Metazoa; Chordata; Mammalia; Primates; Cebidae
Source: RNAcentral